This 72-nucleotide transfer RNA is filed under the name Candidatus Curtissbacteria bacterium RIFCSPHIGHO2_01_FULL_39_57. RNAcentral describes it as "tRNA-Ser". It matches the Rfam family "tRNA". From Rfam's summary of the family: Transfer RNA (tRNA) molecules are approximately 80 nucleotides in length. Their secondary structure includes four short double-helical elements and three loops (D, anti-codon, and T loops). Further hydrogen bonds mediate the characteristic L-shaped molecular structure. tRNAs have two regions of fundamental functional importance: the anti-codon, which is responsible for specific mRNA codon recognition, and the 3' end, to which the tRNAs corresponding amino acid is attached (by aminoacyl-tRNA synthetases). tRNAs cope with the degeneracy of the genetic code in two manners: having more than one tRNA (with a specific anti-codon) for a particular amino acid; and 'wobble' base-pairing, i.e. permitting non-standard base-pairing at the 3rd anti-codon position. Lineage: Bacteria; Candidatus Curtissiibacteriota. RNAcentral also lists the same sequence under 2 other names. The record is from RNAcentral.
GCGCCAGUAGCUCAAGGGAUCGAGCAUGGAUUUACUAAAUCCAAGAUGGUAGUUCGAAUCUACCCUGGCGCA